Hemibagrus wyckioides is the source of this 6302-nucleotide long non-coding RNA. RefSeq lists it as uncharacterized. Lineage: Eukaryota; Metazoa; Chordata; Actinopteri; Siluriformes; Bagridae. The transcript is spliced from 2 exons. The record is from RefSeq and is a predicted model, not a curated record.
UUCCCCGUCUAAGCAAAAGUAAAAAAAACGGUACUGUUCCGUCCGUCUCGUCCUGGAUCAGCUACGAGUGUUGGAAAAGAAGCUCGCGCGCAAGGCCUACCUUAACCACCGAAGAUUCAAACAUAUAUAUUUUCUUUAGCUUUUAUGAUAAACGCUCCAAACUAAUUUGAAACAAAGUUCUUUAGCACGCUUUUACACAUGAUCGCUAAUUUUGCUAGCAGUUUUGAACAUUUGCUACUAUUUUAUGGGAAAUUGCGGGAAGCCUCGGAGUCGAGUUAAAGCACUGGCCGGACAACUGACAGAGACUUUCGGUAUGCGGUGUUGGAAAGUUCCCGGAAAGCCUGGGGCUUUGAACCAACUACAAUUUUUUAAUUCUUUUAUAUACAAAAUAUCAGAACUUGUCGUUUAAGGUUUGUGAGACGAUUGCUUAAAAGGGUGUUACGUAUUUUAAGUCUGAAUACAUUUUUUUUUACAUUUUAGGUUGUAGGCCGCGAGUUAGCCUUCAGCUGAUAACUUUAGAUAACAUUAUUAAUAGAUAAACGGGCUUUAACAAAUAUUAUUUGAGAAAUAUUAAAAUGAUAUUUUCCUCAAUGGAGAGUUUUAGUCUAUUGUAAUGGAGAAGUGUUACAUUUGUGUCGCCUGUAACAAAAAAUGGCGUUAGGUAACACUGGGUGCAUUAAUAACGUUAAAUACUGUGGGGAUUAGUAUUUUAUCUUAAAGCUAUUAAAAUUACAAUGUCGGAUCAAAGUUAAAUUCGGUCAACGACGUUGAUUUAAAUCAAAUGUUUAUUUUAUAUUUAUACUCGUCUACAAGUCGCCUUCGUUCGAAGGAGAACGUUAAUGCACAAUAUGGCCGCCGUGGUUGUUAGCUUUAGCACAGUUAGCUUAGCAUAGCUCUGUCUCCUCCACAACAGCAGUGAAGUGAAAACAUGAUUUUAAAAAAGUGAAAAAUUAACUCGAUUUUUUAGAUCGACGAUAAAUGAAAUACCAUCUAGCUUAAACAUUAUAUUUGAUUUCAGAAACGUAACACGGACGAUUUUAUGAAUCGCCCUUUAGGUGCUGAUGUGGAAUCUUCAAUUCAGGAAAUAUAUCUACAAUAAUAUUAACUAGAUUAGAUUAUAGCCAUUCGAUUUAAUUCUUAUUGUCUCUAUUUAAGUAUUUAAUAAAAAAAAAUAAACAAAUAAUAACGAGUACUGGAUAUAUUGUAUAUUAGAUAUCUAGCUAAGAUUAGUUGCCAUGGUGAUGGAAAUAGCACGGAAACCUACGUUGUUUUCUUAUUACUGUAAUAUAACAGAGUUAUAGCGUAUAUAUAAAACAUAGUUAUGUGUGUGUAUAUAUAUUUUGGGGAAUAGUCGAUAAAUUGCACGCGCCAAUGCUAAGGAAGCCUAGCAUAAACGCUAUUCUAGAAAUUUGUCUUUGGUCGCUGGGAAACACAUUAAAACGCGAUUUUUACGAUGUUUAAUCCAUUGUUAAGUAUGUAGAUUUCGAUUUUUGUAACGGAUAACUAUAAAAUAUUAGUCAACUGGGAUAUCUUAGCCGGCUAAGAUGACCACUGUUAGCCGGCUAACAGUAAAAGCUUUGUUAUAUGUAACUCGGGUGUGUUUCACCGCUGUGUCCUUUUUUAUAUAUAUUUGUCUACAUGCAUGUACUAGUAUAUCUGGCAAAGGUUAUGUUCUUAGCGACAUUAUUUUUUUUUAGAAAUGAAACGUCUCUAAUCCAUCUUCAGAGCUGUACGUGGUGUGCCAGUAUGGCGGAGGCGUCUCUAAUAAAAAUGGAGUCUGCUCUGUUACUGGGGUUGUUGUUUUGUAAGGAAGAGAGAAGUCAGGCUGAGUCAUUUGCUACAGCUAAACAUGUCUCCUUCCUUAUUAUUUUACCCCCUCUGACGUUUUAGAAGUCAGUUCAGUGUGCCAGUUACGUGAUCCAGAUUGAAACGGAAAAAACAUGAAACAGGAAUUUUCUUUUUCGUGCCACAGAGGCAGAUGAUCUGCUUUAGGGGCAAGUCAGGUUAGAGGGGUCCUCUCAGUGUUGUUCAGGUAUUUUCAGGGGAAAGUAGGUACAGCAUGCUGGGAAAGUGGCUAGAAGUUGCCGGGUGACGUCACCGACGUGUUCAUUUGCAUAUUCAUAGAGGUCAUUAUUGUAUAAACUCUAUAUCCAACUUGUGUAAUGUCUUCGGAAUCAUGUUGGAUGAAUGCGAAACUGUAUGAAAGAACAGAAGACAAGGAAGUUAUGAUAUCUAGUUACUACUCUUGGGCACAUUUUACUUUUAUAAUUAGCCACAUUCUUAUGCACAUCUCUGUCGUAUUUUGACAUACACUGAAUUGCCAAAAGUUUUGGGACACCACUCUAAAUCAUUGAAAUCAGGGGUUGGUCUUGAUUCCUUACUUCCAGUAAAAAAUGGAACUCUUAAUGCUUCAGCAUACCAAGGCAUUUUGGACAAUUUCAUGCUCCCAUCUUUGUGGGAACAGUUUAGACAUGACCCCUUCCUGUUCCGACAUGGCUGUGAACCAGUGUAAAAAGCAAGUUACAUAAAGACAUGGAUCAGCUAGUUUGGUGUGGAGGAACUUCAGAGAGUCUUGACCUCAACCCCAUAGAACACCUUUGGGAUGAAUUAGAGCGGGGACUGCGAGCCAGGCCUUCUCAUUCAACAUCAGUGCCUGAUGUCACAAAUGCGCUUCUAGAGGAAUGGCCAAAAAUUCCCAUGAACACACUCCUAAAGCUUGUGGUAAGCCUUCCCAGAAGAGUUGAAGUUGAUUAGCUCAGGACCCAGUCAAGUUCCUCCACACCAAACUCGCUCAUCCAUGUGUUUAUGGAGCUUGUGCAGUCAUGUUGGAACAGGAAGGGGUCAUCCCCAAACUGUUCCCACAAUGUUAGGAGCAUGAAAUUGUCCAAAAUGUCUUAGUAUGAAGCUGAAGCAUUAAGAAUUCCUUUCACUGGAACUAAGGGGUCAAGCCCAACACCUGAACGCAAUGAUUUGGAGGGGUGUCCCAAAACUUUUGGCAAUAUAGUGUAAAAGCAAGCUGCUACAUGUAAAUUAUGAAGUAAAUAUCAGUAACUGGGUCCCUUGCCCCAAUCAUAUUCAGUCUCUUCACCCUGUGUCAAAUGACAUUUAGUGGUUCUUGGCUGAGCCUCAUUAUAAACAGCAGGAGAUGGAGAGUAGUACAUUCAGAGAGUUUGGCUAUUUCAUCAAAGUUUGGAAAAAAUGAUGAGCACCGAUUUACCACCAUGGCUUCAAGUAGGAGAGAUUUAGCUCCUCAGGAAGCUUUAGCUGCACGUCUUGAAGACGAGGAUGACAGAAGUGCUUCAUCUGAUUCGGGAGCGUGUCAUCAGAUGAAGCAUCUUCCUGGAGAGGGAGCCGGUUUACGUUUUAAAAAAAUUGCUGAUCCACAAUCUUGCUCAACUGCUGCAGUCAACAUUACCCCUGUAUACCAGCCUUCUAGAGGAGGAUGAAUGCCAAAAUGCUGGACCACUGGACCGUUUUCAUCUGUGAUUUUCAAAGGCUUCAGUGCCAAAAUACCAACAAACAGGCAGCUAGAACACUGGACAUGGUCAAAAAGUACAUAUGGUCCAAUGUCAUUGUGGGCGAAUUCUACAAGUUCAUUAGUCACACAUCAGCGGUUCCUCUAAAACAGAUCCAGGUUUAGUGGCCAGAGAGCCUCUACUCUGUCCCAUCUCCAGUAACAGUUAUGGUCAGGGAUAGGUACAGAAUGUUGAGUGACCCAGGCAGAGAUAUGGCGAAGGAGACACCAGACCAUAACGAGUUGUUUCAUACAAGAUGGCUUCUCAAUGAGAUGUGUGCCAUGUGCCAGGCAUAUUACCAUCCAAGAACGGAGCUGUAAAUCUGACAUGACCCAGGAUAUGAAGAUGGUUAUUGAUCAUUGGGAGCAAUGAUGAUCAAUGGAACUUGGAAACAGCAGGUCUUUAGGAACUAUGCCAAUUAGUGAUUGGUUGCAGGGAGCAGUGGUGAUGAGUGAUCGGACAUUAGGGUCCAGAGUGAUUCAGUUGUUGGUUUUGUCUUUUUUUGGGGGGGAGUAAAGGUGACCAACAGUUGGCCAGUGGGAUCAGUAAUCAGUGACUGGACAUUAGGAACAUUGUUGGUUGGGAACUAUGAUGGUCAGUGAUUGGACAUUAGGAACAAUGAUGGUCAGUGUUUGGACAUUAGAAACAUCGAUAGUUGGGAACUAUGAUGGUCAGUAAUAGGACAUUAGGAAAUAUGGUGGUCAGCGAUUGGACAUUAGGAACAUAGAUGGUUGGGAUCUAUGAUGGUCAGUAAUAGGACAUUAGGAAAUAUAGUGAUUAGUGAUUGUUGGGCACUGUGGUGAGCUGCGAUUGGACAUAGUGAAUCCAGCAAACCCGCUCUCUCGGCUCAUAUAUCAGCAGCUUUGAGAUGGAGAACCAUAUCGAGUUCAGGACAUCCGCCAGCAACUGCUUUAAAAGUAGCUAGAUUUGUCAUUAAGGUCUCUAAAUUGGCAACAUUGUGCUUUCUUAUUGUUCUUUCUCUUGGAGCAGGAGUUCUUAAUGGCCGCCAGUUUUUUUUUGUUUAUAUUCUUUCUGCUCCCACACCCACCUAACUUUGUGAGUUUAUCAGGUUUCUCAGAGCAGGACUCCAACAUGGACUUUUAACAGUACAGACGUGUUCUCACAGGACCUGAUGUCCUCAGUCCAUAACAAAAACUAUAACACUUGCUGCUCCACACACUGAAAUGUUACACUCAAGCAAUGACAGAAAUCUGAAUGUCAGUUAAUUUACAGCACAUGUUCAUGACUCCUGGUCCUGGAGAACUUCCUGUUCAGCAAAUUUUAGUGCUUUUUCAGCUCCCAAGACACCUGAUUCAGCUUGGAAAAUGUGAUUGAUUAAAUGAAUCAGGUGUGAUGUGCAGGACAGCAGUCUUUCCUGGAACAGGGAUGAGAUCUUGUAGUGUACAGAAUUAUCAUGCGGUGUCCUCAGCCUGGGAUGUGUGUCAUGUAAAUGUAAGGUGAUUUAAAUUAAGCUUCAUUAUAAUGAGACAACUUUAGGAUUGGUGCACCAAACUUCAAGCUCCAAAUCUUAGCAAAGCUGUUUCUGUACCAAAAUGAUGUUAUGUUACUUUUAGUUCAUCACUAAGUCUUUGGUUUUCUUCUUUAAUUGUUUCUUUGUUAGAUUUCUCUUCUGGUUUCCAGACCGGUGAGUUUUCUUCAUACUGAAAAGCAUGACACUUCAAAAUAAAGUCAGUAGAGAUGUCAGUAGUGUUGAAAACCCAGUGUCCACACGUUUUUAGCGACUCUCCCUACCCUACCCUCACACACCUGACCCAGAUAAUCACCUAAUUAACAGCUGUUUCUCAGUCGACUCAGGUGUGUUGGACAGAUGUCCAGGACAGAUGGUUGUCCAUGAAAAAUGACCGUGAAAAAUUGUUUCACGUGUUCUUGUGUACAUACACUGUAUUGCCAAAAUACAGGCCCUUAGUUCCAGUGAAAGGAACUCUUAAUGCUUCAGCUUCAUACCAAGACAUUUUGGACAAUUUCAUGCUCCCAACUUUGUGGGAACAGUUUGGGGAUGACCCCUUCCUGUUCCAACAUGACUGCACACCAGUGACCAAAGCAAGGUCCAUAAAGACAUGAAUGAGUGAGUUUGGUGUGGAGGAACUUCAGAGUCCUGACCUCAACCUCAUAGAACACCUUUGGGAUGAAUUAGAGCAGAGAGUGCGAGCCGGACCUUCUUGUCUUCUGUGCAGGCUAGUCAAGUUCCUCCACACCAAACUAGUUCAUUCACGUCUUUAUGGAGCUUGCGCGCGAAGGUUUGAAGGGGUGUCCCAAAACUUUUAGCAAUGUAGUUUAUUUUAACUUUGAUACACACCACUGCUUAAUCCUCAACUGAAGAUAGCAAGCCUUAUUCUUCUUCACCACAAAUACAAACCUUUUUGUAAGGUACUUUUUGAUCUUCACCUCAGAUAUGUUCACCUGUGUGUGUUAAGGAUUUCUAGCACCACAUUUGCAUGCAUGUGAAGUACAAGUUAAAAAAACACGUUUUGUUGGAAGACUUUAGGUACUUUACAUGGGCGUGUAAUGACUUGUAUGACUUGUAUGAUCAUGUCUCAGCUUAAUCCAAUGUCAGCAUAGUGUUAGUGUGUUUAAAGUAAGUGUUAAACAUAUAACCUGCCGAAAGAAGACUCGAUAAGCGUUCAUAUUUUUCUAACGAUGUUUAUUAAUGAUCAGAGCUCUAGGCUACUUUCCCGAGCCCUGAUUUCCUGUCGUUCUUUAUGUACGUAUUUUUAAGCCCUGUACAUUUAUUCCUGAUCUCAGAAUAAAAAGCUCUCUUUUACACCA